RNAcentral lists this unclassified non-coding RNA (49 nucleotides) under Leishmania tarentolae. RNAcentral's name for it is "guide RNA". Lineage: Eukaryota; Euglenozoa; Kinetoplastea; Trypanosomatida; Trypanosomatidae. The record is from RNAcentral.
UAAAUCUAAACAAUACAAAAUGAAAAAUCAUAGGUUAGAAAAUAAAGAU